RNAcentral lists this ribosomal RNA (293 nucleotides) under uncultured bacterium. Its description in RNAcentral is "partial 16S ribosomal RNA". It matches the Rfam family "Bacterial small subunit ribosomal RNA", at positions 775 to 1067 of the family's 1533-position model. The record is from RNAcentral.
GGAUUAGAUACCCUGGUAGUCCUUGCUGUAAACGAUGCAUACUUGGUGUAGUUGGGCUCAACCCCGACUGUGCUGUAGCUAACGCGUUAAGUAUGCCACCUGGGGAGUAUGCCCGCAAGGGUGAAACCUAAAAGAAUUGACGGGGGCCCGCACAAGCAGUGGAGCAUGUGGUUUAAUUCGAUGCAACGCGAAGAACCUUACCCAGGCUUGACAUGUAAAGGAAUAUACUAGAAAUGGUAUAGCCCGCAAGGGUCUUUACACAGGUGCUGCAUGGCUGUCGUCAGCUCGUGCCG